CGCACCACGACCGCUUAUCCAUUCCCAUCCACCACCGCCGGGCACGCGCCGCCACGCGCAGCCGUUUGCCAGGAGCCAAGGAGGCGGGCGUACGCGUUGCCCGACCCCGGGAAGGGGGCGAGGCGUCGCGGUUGGCGUUGGCGAAUCCAUUCCCAGCGGCGGCGGCUUCCGGCGAGGAGGCGAGCGAGCUCGGGGAGCUCCGGCGGGGACUUGUCGUCGGUGAGGCGAGGACGAGGCGGCGGCGCGCGGGCUCGAGGAGGCGAGGUUGAUGAGGCGCAGGAGGACGCCGGCCGGUGGCGCUCCGGCGGGGGCUUGGCGAGGGCGACGGCGGCGGCCGGCGUGCUCGCUUGGGAGGAUGGAGGCUGCCUCGCCGGGGCUCGGGCGCGGCAGCACGGUGUCGGGCCGUUGCCGAUGGCGCCGGGGCCGGGGCGGUGGUUUGACGGGCGACGAGGAGGAGGUGCUGUCCUGGAGCCAGCGACGGCGGCUGCAGCUUGACGAUGCGGACGUCAACAGCUUGCUUCAGGGGCUGCGGGCGGUGAAUGGCGUUGUGCUCGCGCGCGAGACCCGUGUCUGAUUUGGAAAGAAUCAAUCCGUGGAAGAAGAAGGCCAAUGCAACUGCUCUCUAGCUAGGCACUGGAGUAUCUGCACCCCCAAUGGAAUGGUACGAAUUGCUGCUGGUACUGAACAUUGACAGGUAAAACUUAGCAUAUCCAGAAAUACAUCAUUAUAAGCUACUUCCAUAGAUGCAUCUAGAUCAUAGCAUCUGAACUUGAGGAUAGCAGACAAAAAUUCAAACAGAAAGAAAGCUACGCUCCAUAUUGUGUUCUUUAUAUGCCAUAUCGAAUAACAUGUUCAUAUUUGAUUGGUUUCUUCACAGUAGCGCAUGGACGAUAAAUAUCCCUAUUUUGAUAUAUUUCUAUGCGAUGAUUUAUCUAUUGCCACUGUUUUUGAAUUAUUUUCGUCCAUAAAUCAUGCGACUCAAGUCAAUUUGAGAUCGAAUUUGUUCAUGAGGUCAAGACUGAACCUUGCGACAGCUCCAAGUUAACAUACAUCCAUACUGAAUUUUCUUGUCAUAAUUGUAAAGACUGUCUAUGUAUUUUUGUGACAGCAACGUGGGGUUUUUAAUUGGUAUUGUGCUUGAAACAAAGUUGCAUGAUACAUAUUUCCUACAAUCAUUUUGAAAGGUUUGCCCCCUUUAUAGGUUAUAAGGUAGGUCCUAUAUUCUUGGCAGAUAUUGUAUGACCGCCUAUUCAGAGUAUUUCGCCCUUGAUUGCGUAGAUAUUAUCUUACAGAUAACCUUUGACUUCUCGAUGAACUCUGUACUGUCAGUAUUUGUGCACAAUGCACAUUCUGAAACUUACAACUAUUAGUGAUCAAUGAGAUAAGAGUACUUGAUCCUCGAUUCUUAAACUAUCAUCUGACUCAUAACCAUGUACUACUCGGUGAACUCUAUAUAUCUAUCAGUAGUUGGAAGCACUACAAAGCAGUGUCAAAUUCAGUACUAUAUGUACAUGAGUUUGCUGAUUUCAGGCAAGCAACAACAAACAGACUUUGUUGUUUUCAGUCUAAUGAGAUAUUUGUUGGGCAUCACUAAGGAACACCAGCAAAGGCGUGAAGAGAUACUUGAAAUCAGCGAUGGAUUUACUCUGAAUUUUUUCCUGUCCUGGAACAUUAACUGGAUUGAUUCAUGGAUGCAGUGUGACAUGUCGUGUGAGAUGAAGGUGGCAAACCAUCCAAACUUGAAGCCAAGCAUGUGGUGGAUCCGCCAUGGAUGAUGGAUGGACCGGUGAGUGUAGAAGUUUGAGCUGUGAAACUUUGUGCAAUCGAGCUCCUGGUGUAAUUAAGCAUAUGGCUUUUGUGAUGUGUAAUGUAGGUAGUGAUUGCCUAUAUUUCUUUCCUUCUUAAAUUUGUUGUAAUAAGGUUAUCCUUUGCAGAAGGAAGAUUGAACCGCCUUUUGGUUUAGGUAGAAGCACCCAUUGAUGUUUUCCAAUUCUUUGUAUUCAUUCUAUUAUGUGCUAUAAUAGUUAAUUGCAUAUAUAUGUACUAUGUUUGGAUAUUCUCACGCAACAUCUAUGUACAACAGAUGCAGAUUUUCAGAA
Long non-coding RNA from Triticum dicoccoides, 2099 nucleotides. RefSeq lists it as uncharacterized. Lineage: Eukaryota; Viridiplantae; Streptophyta; Magnoliopsida; Poales; Poaceae. The transcript has 2 exons. The record is from RefSeq and is a predicted model, not a curated record.